This 253-nucleotide ribosomal RNA is filed under the name uncultured bacterium. RNAcentral's name for it is "partial 16S ribosomal RNA". It matches the Rfam family "Bacterial small subunit ribosomal RNA", at positions 524 to 776 of the family's 1533-position model. The record is from RNAcentral.
UACGUAGGGGGCAAGCGUUGUCUGGAUUUAUUGGGCGUAAAGCGCGUGUAGGCGGCCAGAUAGGUCUGCUGUGAAAACUCGAGGCUCAACCUCGAGCUGUCGGCGGAAACCAUCUGGCUAGAGUCCGGAAGAGGAGAGUGGAAUUCCUGGUGUAGCGGUGAAAUGCGCAGAUAUCAGGAAGAACACCUAUGGCGAAGGCAGCUCGCUGGGACGUGACUGACGCUGAGACGCGAAAGCGUGGGGAGCGAACAGG